CCUGGUGGCUCAAUGGUUAAAGCGUCUGCCCGCAAUGCAGGAGACCUGGGUUCGAUCCCUGGGUCAGGA
This 69-nucleotide transfer RNA is filed under the name Ovis aries (sheep). It matches the Rfam family "tRNA". From Rfam's summary of the family: Transfer RNA (tRNA) molecules are approximately 80 nucleotides in length. Their secondary structure includes four short double-helical elements and three loops (D, anti-codon, and T loops). The record is from Rfam by way of RNAcentral. Lineage: Eukaryota; Metazoa; Chordata; Mammalia; Artiodactyla; Bovidae.